CAAAAAUCGGACGUGACGGUCUUGGUUUUGGAUUUUUAUGGGAAGGGCCGGAAGGUCACGUGCAUGGUCUUUAAGCCGCCGUAAAGAUAUAGUUGAAAGACAGGAUUUUCCUCCGUCACGGCCUGAGAAGUUUGA
Molecule: non-coding RNA, 135 nt
Organism: Brassica napus (rape)
Lineage: Eukaryota; Viridiplantae; Streptophyta; Magnoliopsida; Brassicales; Brassicaceae
Source: Rfam